UACAGAGGGUGCGAGCGUUGUCCGGAAUCACUGGGCGUAAAGGGCGCGUAGGCGGCUUGAUAAGCGUGCGGUGAAAGCCCGGGGCUCAACCCCGGGUCGGCCGUGCGAACUGUCGAGCUGGAGCACUGUAGAGGCAGGUGGAAUUCCGGGUGUAGCGGUGGAAUGCGUAGAGAUCCGGAAGAACACCGGUGGCGAAGGCGGCCUGCUGGGCAGUAGCUGACGCUGAAGCGCGACAGCGUGGGGAGCAAACAGG
This 253-nucleotide ribosomal RNA is filed under the name uncultured bacterium. Its description in RNAcentral is "partial 16S ribosomal RNA". It matches the Rfam family "Bacterial small subunit ribosomal RNA", at positions 524 to 776 of the family's 1533-position model. The record is from RNAcentral.